GCCUGGGUGGCUCGGUCGGUUGAGCGUCUGACUUAGGCUCAGGACAUCAUCUCACGGUCCGUGAGUUCGAGCCCCACGUCGGGCU
Molecule: transfer RNA, 85 nt
Filed under: Felis catus (domestic cat)
Lineage: Eukaryota; Metazoa; Chordata; Mammalia; Carnivora; Felidae
Rfam family: tRNA
About the family: Transfer RNA (tRNA) molecules are approximately 80 nucleotides in length. Their secondary structure includes four short double-helical elements and three loops (D, anti-codon, and T loops). Further hydrogen bonds mediate the characteristic L-shaped molecular structure. tRNAs have two regions of fundamental functional importance: the anti-codon, which is responsible for specific mRNA codon recognition, and the 3' end, to which the tRNAs corresponding amino acid is attached (by aminoacyl-tRNA synthetases). tRNAs cope with the degeneracy of the genetic code in two manners: having more than one tRNA (with a specific anti-codon) for a particular amino acid; and 'wobble' base-pairing, i.e. permitting non-standard base-pairing at the 3rd anti-codon position.
Source: Rfam by way of RNAcentral